UCCUUUACUGACGCUAAAGCUCGAAAGUGCGGGUAUCGAACAGGAUUAGAUACCCUGGUAGUCCGCACGGUAAACGAUGGAUGCCCGCUGUUGGCGACACACUGUCAGCGGCCAAGCGAAAGCGUUAAGCAUCCCACCUGGGGAGUACGCCGGCAACGGUGAAACUCAAAGGAAUUGACGGGGGCCCGCACAAGCGGAGGAACAUGUGGUUUAAUUCGAUGAUACGCGAGGAACCUUACCCGGGCUUGAACUGCCAGCGAACGAUACAGAGAUGUUGAGGCCCUUCGGGGCGCUGGUGGAGGUGCUGCGUGGUUGUCGUCAGCUCGUGCCGUGAGGUGUCGGCUUAAGUGCCAUAACGAGCGCAACCCCUUUCUUCAGUUGCCAUCAGGUUGAGCUGGGCACUCUGGAGACGCUGCCGCCGUAAGGUGUGAGGAAGGUGGGGAUGACGUCAAAUCAGCACGGCCUUGACGUCCGGGGCUACACACGUGUUACAAUGGGUGGUACAGAGCGUCGGCGGCCUGCAAAGUCCGUCCAAUCGCAAAAUCCAUCCUCAGUUCGGACUGGGGUCUGCAACCCGACCCCACGAAGCUGGAUCGCUAGU
RNAcentral lists this ribosomal RNA (601 nucleotides) under uncultured bacterium. RNAcentral's name for it is "bacterial SSU rRNA". It matches the Rfam family "Bacterial small subunit ribosomal RNA", at positions 733 to 1339 of the family's 1533-position model. The record is from RNAcentral.